ACAGCAGUAGCCACGGUAAUACGUAGGGUGCGAGCGUUAAUCGGAAUUACUGGGCGUAAAGCGUGCGCAGGCGGUUAUAUAAGACAGAUGUGAAAUCCCCGGGCUCAACCUGGGACCUGCAUUUGUGACUGUAUAGCUAGAGUACGGUAGAGGGGGAUGGAAUUCCGCGUGUAGCAGUGAAAUGCGUAGAUAUGCGGAGGAACACCGAUGGCGAAGGCAAUCCCCUGGACCUGUACUGACGCUCACGCACGAAAGCGUGGGGAGCAAACAGGAUUAGAUACCCGGGUAGUCCCUGUCUCUUAUAA
This 305-nucleotide ribosomal RNA is filed under the name uncultured bacterium. RNAcentral describes it as "partial 16S ribosomal RNA". It matches the Rfam family "Bacterial small subunit ribosomal RNA", at positions 505 to 809 of the family's 1533-position model. The record is from RNAcentral.